This 83-nucleotide transfer RNA is filed under the name Lachnospiraceae bacterium KM106-2. It matches the Rfam family "tRNA". Rfam says of the family: Transfer RNA (tRNA) molecules are approximately 80 nucleotides in length. Their secondary structure includes four short double-helical elements and three loops (D, anti-codon, and T loops). Further hydrogen bonds mediate the characteristic L-shaped molecular structure. tRNAs have two regions of fundamental functional importance: the anti-codon, which is responsible for specific mRNA codon recognition, and the 3' end, to which the tRNAs corresponding amino acid is attached (by aminoacyl-tRNA synthetases). tRNAs cope with the degeneracy of the genetic code in two manners: having more than one tRNA (with a specific anti-codon) for a particular amino acid; and 'wobble' base-pairing, i.e. permitting non-standard base-pairing at the 3rd anti-codon position. The record is from Rfam by way of RNAcentral. Lineage: Bacteria; Bacillati; Bacillota; Clostridia; Lachnospirales; Lachnospiraceae.
GCGGAUGUGGCGGAAUGGCAGACGCAACAGACUCAAAAUCUGUCGGGGGCAACCUCGUGUGGGUUCAAGUCCCACCAUCCGCA